Nasonia vitripennis (jewel wasp) is the source of this 3420-nucleotide RNA transcript. It is a transcript of the gene named glycerol 3 phosphate dehydrogenase, with no coding region annotated. The record is from RefSeq and is a predicted model, not a curated record. The transcript is spliced from 7 exons. NCBI's taxonomy places the organism in Eukaryota, Metazoa, Arthropoda, Insecta, Hymenoptera, Pteromalidae.
CAGGUUACUCGUUUAUUUUUCUUUUCUUUUAAGUUUACAUAGUUUUUUGCUACGUUUUUACUAUAUACAUAUAUACAACGUUGUUACGAAGAGCCAGACUGUGUAAAACAGGUGUAGGUGAGAGAGUAUUUUUUUUCUUUUGUUUUAUAGAACUUUUUUUUGUUCAAGGUUUAGGUAUUAUAGACGUCGAGAAUAUCAUUGUUAUACACGCUUCUCGAAUUGUAAAGAUUUCUAUAUAUUAUCAUGUUCGUUUACAUGAUUUAUAUAUGCAAAUUUUGUAUUAUACAAAUAAAAAAAGAGAAUUUUUCAUACACAUCACGAAAUGACAUUGUUUCUUCUCUCGUUUCCGGUUUCCGGCGUACCGUUAUGCGAGAUUACGAGAGUGAUUCGAGGAAGCGAAUAGCACAGGUAUAAAAAUAAUACGACGACUGAUGCUUUAAGGGUCUUGCACUCAGGGUUGAGCCACAGCGCCGCAAGUUUCGCAAGCCUCAAGGAGCAUCUUUGACAGCGCUCGACGCCUCGUUCUUGUGCGCAAAAAAUCGAUGCAAUCUUUGAACUCACUCGUGAACUCGUAAACGUUUAUUGAUUUAAUCCAGUCCGAUUCGGUUAUCAGUAUCUCCUUAACGAGCUAAUUCGAGAGUAAAGUAGUUGUAAAUAUUCGUAUCACUAUUUUUUAUCGUCGCUUAUCUUUGUGGAUAAUGCUCGUCAACGCUCGCUGCGCACUGCUAUUAAGUAUACAAUAAUGCGUCUUAAUUAGGCGAUCAAUUAAAAAAUGUCUAUAUACUCGCAAAAUUCUAUGCCAGUUUUUCUAGGUGUACCACGGCGCAUUAGACUCGAGAAAUACACGAUAAUGCCAGUGUAAAGAAGCCAAAGUUAUUGAAAAAGCGUCAAGAUCGCCGAUUAUGCAAUCGCCUCGUCCAUCAAGCUUUCGUCAAAAUGAAGAAAAACGUCGCAUCGAUCAGGCCUCUCUAAUUGACAACGUCCACUAUAAUAUGCCUUCCGAGUGCUAACUCAAGCGUCAAUCCUCCAGAAGCUUUCGGCCAUAUAGUAUCGACUCGACUGGCACUAGCACUACUUCCUGGGGGAAGCGCAUUAUCAACCUUCCGCGCUAAUUUUAAAGGCAUGUGAGAGAGAGAUCCUUGGCGCGAAGACGACGGCUUGACGAUCAGCCAACGUUGUGCGCGAUAUAGUGUAUGUGCGACAGAGAAAGAACGACUAAGGUCGAGCGAGACUAAAGGAACGGGCCGUCGGUGGCUGAGCUUCAUUUCGCUCUCGGACCGCUCCGGCAGACAACACUCACGCGAGCAAAGUAAGCGAGCUUGAAAGCACAUCGAUAGUCGCGCUGAAAGCUUCGAACGUUGCACGCUCUUUUCUCUUAUUGUUCGUCCGCAGACUUUCUUUUUUUUUAAACUUAAAAAUUUGCGACGAUUUUGAUUUUGGCCUUUUUAUAUGAUAAAUUUCAUCCGACGCUCGUUCGUUCUAUUUUUUGGCAACAUGUCGAAAACGAGGAUUUGCAUCGUUGGAAGCGGAAACUGGGGCUCGGCGAUCGCGAAGAUCGUGGGCGCUAAUGCCACCAAGUUCAGCGACAAGUUCGAGGAGAAGGUGACGAUGUACGUGUUCGAGGAGAUGGUCAACGGCAAGAAGCUCACCGAGAUCAUCAACGAGACGCACGAGAACGUCAAGUACCUGCCAGGACACAAGCUUCCGCCAAAUAUCGUCGCGGUGCCGGACGUCGUGGAGGCGGCCAAGGAAGCCGAUAUUCUGAUCUUCGUGGUGCCCCAUCAGUUCAUCCCCGGCCUGUGCGCGACUUUGCUGGGAAAGAUCAAGCCCAGCGCCGUUGGACUGUCGCUCAUCAAGGGAUUCGCUCAGGGCGACGGUACCAACAUCAAGCUCAUUUCCAAGAUCAUCGAGGAGAAGCUGAAGAUCCCCUGCUCGGUACUGAUGGGUGCCAAUCUUGCCAACGAGGUCGCCGAGGAGCACUUCUGCGAGACCACUAUCGGCUGCAAAGACAAGCGCAUGGGUCCCAUCAUGAAGGACUGCAUGCAGACGCCAAACUUCCGAGUCACAGUCGUGGAGGACACGGAAGCCGUUGAGGUCUGCGGCGCCCUGAAGAACAUCGUCGCCUGCGCUGCCGGUUUCGUCGACGGUCUCGCCCUAGGUGACAACACCAAGGCCGCCGUCAUCAGGCUUGGCCUCAUGGAGAUGGUCAGGUACGUCGACCAGUUCCACGGCGGUUCCAAGAUCAACACCUUCUUCGAGAGCUGCGGUGUCGCCGAUCUCAUCACCACCUGCUACGGUGGCAGGAACCGCAAAGUCUCCGAAGCCUUCGUCAAGACCGGCAAAUCGAUCGAGGAACUGGAGAAAGAAAUGCUGAACGGCCAGAAGCUCCAAGGCCCGGCGACAGCCGAGGAGGUGAACGGCAUGCUCAAGGGCUGCAACUCGACGGACAAGUUCCCGUUGUUCACAGCGGUGCACCGCAUCUGCGCGAAGGAGCUGAAGCCUCAGGACCUGAUCGACCAGAUCCGCAACCAUCCCGAGCAUGCGUGCGUAACUUCCGAUACCGAUAACUACGAUUCUUGCGGCGGUGGCUGCGGCUCCUUCAUACCCGAUCGUAUCAAGCUUAGUCUAGUCAUCAAGUUCAAUCUCAACCGGCCCUUUCACAGCGAGGCCGUAGCUCCCCAGACUCUCUAGAAUCUCCUUCUAUGAUAUACUCCUUCUUUUCGUUGACUGUCGUCAAUUGCUUUUUGCUUCCCUAGCGUUUUAGUUUUACUCGCCGCUGUAGAUGCAGGAUUGCCUGUAGGAUUGAGAUGUAUUAUAUCUAGAAGUAAUCUAAGCUCCACUCAGAGGCUGAUGCACACUGUUGUGGGAGAUUAAGAAGUUUCCAGCUGAAUUAUCGCUGAUCACUUUUUGCAAUAUCGAUUUGAAAAGUGUAUUUGUAAACAGUGUGCAACAGCCGACUCGCUUAUAACAUUAUGCUCGUUCUCCCGCAGAUUCAUACCCCGAAAUCUCCACCUGUGAGAACAUUCCAUGGCUAACUCGUCGACUCAUACCAUUCGCAAUUAACAUUCCAUCGACUAACGACCUCUCUUCACGCGCUGCAGCGAAAGGUGCGACCGAACUGGAGUAUACGCAAUACGUAGUGCAUCUAGAUUUUUUUUCUACGCUGUUUCUCUCGACUGACGCUACCUUUGGCUGUGAAAUCUCACAGCGAGACAAUAAGCUGUCGCAGAAGACUAACCAACGAGUAACUCGAGCAUCUCGGACGAUCCCCCAGGCGAUCGGUGUUAAUGUGAUAUAUAAGUAUAUAAUAUGUAUAAGCGUUGUGUACACUGAAAAGAAAAAGAAUAUACGCCACUUAUUCCUGACAAUCACCUUUGUACGUACACUGUAUGAUGUAAAUAUAUGCGCGAUGCUAUUUAA